Long non-coding RNA from Tympanuchus pallidicinctus (lesser prairie-chicken), 1646 nucleotides. RefSeq lists it as uncharacterized. The record is from RefSeq and is a predicted model, not a curated record. NCBI's taxonomy places the organism in Eukaryota, Metazoa, Chordata, Aves, Galliformes, Phasianidae. The transcript is spliced from 6 exons.
UUUCUCCUUAAACUGCUUUGCUAACACACCACGAGGACUUCUUCAUUAUAACUCCUGCCUUGCAGACAGCCCCUCUGGGUCUCACAUUUGCUUUCCACAGCAGCAAACUGGGAAUAACGAAGAGUCCACCUACCACUGCAGCAGACAUCAAAAAGAGCCCAGUAGGAAGCCAAAGUACACAGAGAUCCAUUCAGAGAGUUUUUGAACAUAAGUGCUCCAAACAGACCUAAAAGAAUAACUGUUUAGGAAACAGCAGGGGAGAGCAGCCUCUGAAAACAUGAAGAAUCCUACUGUGAGAGUCUUUCUUGAUGGAUCAAGAGCUGUAUUUACAAGCAGAGCACAACUGACAAUGCAGGAUCCAGACAACAGAACCUAUGGGACAUAGGAGUGUCAGCUUACUCAACCAUGUUCCCAAAUUCUUGCUCUUCGACAUCACAGAGAAAACAAACGCACAGUCCUGGCAAAUGAACCUGUGGGAUAGAGGAGUACAGGGUCGUGAAUACGUCAGAAAGCUGACUGGACCAUAGUCCAUCUUAUCCUCUGCACUGGGGCUAUUGCAAGUGAUCGAACAUCCUUUGGAACAAUCACAGUUUCAACUGUAAUAACUUUCUCAUAGCUAGCAAUAUUAAGAAUACCAAAGAGACCUAUUUCAUUAUAUUUUUCUUUUAACUUCUCUGCAGUGAUUUAACUUCCCUUUUUUUUUUUUAAUCUCGGCUGUUGAAGGUUUGUUACAAUCUCCUCCUGCAUCCUACCUCCCACAUCUCACAAUCUACUUAAUGACUUCUUUCAUUUAUUUUUCUAGCUCUUCCUACACACAAGAUUAAAAUUCCCUGCUGCAGCAUUUGUUAUCUUCUCUCAUUCUGUUUAGUGUGAUGACCAGAAAGCUGUGUAAGUAUAUGUACUUAGGAUAUCUGAGUAAAGGUAAUUAAUAUAAAGCACAUUCUCAUAUCAUUUACUAGGCAGGGACUAGUUUUUAUGAAGUACUGACCUCCAGGACCUUAUUUCAUAAUAUUAUUUCCAUCCUAACAGGAGAGAUAGUGAUAGUACAUGCACAUAUCCUGGGCAACAAGCAACUCAGAGAACUGAUAUUUGCUGCCCACUGUUGAUUUUAUCUCAGAAGUCAAGUACUCCUAUGCAAAAUUGGGCUAAAAUAAAUUACAUCUGAUGAAUCAUACUGUCAACACCACUUCCCACAAAAAUAUUGUGAAAGUAAUGCUAUUUUAAUAUUAAGUGUCAUCAUGUUGAAAUUCUAAUAUGAAGUUUUUGUGUUUGAGAUCCUAGAUCCAAAUUAACUGUUCUAGAGAGAUGCUCUUGAUGUUCUUUACUGCAGCACCAAUGCCUGCCUCAGACUCACUUGUACUUGGGAGCAUCCCGUGCCUCUGGUAAUACAAUAGGGAAGAGACUGUGACACUGCAGGCUGUUUGGGAAAGCCGCAUGGCAAAAAGGCUAUUUAGGUCUUAUGCACAACAGCUUGGGAAUAAGUGGCUUAAACUACCCAAGGCCACAUAGCCAGUCCUUAAAUUGUGUCUUCUGAAAAUAGAAACAGAAAGGUCUGCUGCUUUGCUAGCACACCUCAAAUUCACUGCUUUCCUGUGGAAUAAACUAAAAUUAAAUUCAAGUAGACACACACACACACACACACACAC